AGUGAACGCUGGCGGUAGGCCUAACACAUGCAAGUCGAACGGCAGCACAGUAAGAGCUUGCUCUUACGGGUGGCGAGUGGCGGACGGGUGAGGAAUACAUCGGAAUCUACUUUUUCGUGGGGGAUAACGUAGGGAAACUUACGCUAAUACCGCAUACGACCUACGGGUGAAAGCAUGGGAUCUUCGGACCUUGCGCGAUUGAAUGAGCCGAUGUCGGAUUAGCUAGUUGGCGGGGUAAAGGCCCACCAAGGCGACGAUCCGUAGCUGGUCUGAGAGGAUGAUCAGCCACACUGGAACUGAGACACGGUCCAGACUCCUACGGGAGGCAGCAGUGGGGAAUAUUGGACAAUGGGCGAAAGCCUGAUACAGCCAUACCGCGUGGGUGAAGAAGGCCUUCGGGUUGUAAAGCCCUUUUGUUGGGAAAGAAAAGCAGCAGGUUAAUACCCCGCUGUUCUGACGGUACCCAAAGAAUAAGCACCGGCUAACUUCGUG
Molecule: ribosomal RNA, 492 nt
Filed under: uncultured bacterium
Lineage: Bacteria
Description: partial 16S ribosomal RNA
Rfam family: Bacterial small subunit ribosomal RNA
Source: RNAcentral